Long non-coding RNA from Galeopterus variegatus (Sunda flying lemur), 382 nucleotides. RefSeq lists it as uncharacterized. The record is from RefSeq and is a predicted model, not a curated record. The transcript is spliced from 2 exons. Lineage: Eukaryota; Metazoa; Chordata; Mammalia; Dermoptera; Cynocephalidae.
CUCGGCGGGAGCGCCGCCGCGCUCCCAAGCGGCGCACUCUCCAGUGCACCACCGGGCUGGCCCUUUAGAAACCUUUUGAAAGUAUUUCUGUAACAAGAUUUAUCUGAGAAAUAUUUCCAGAUUGCAGCACUCCAGAAAAGAUGCUCUCACAAGAACACUUGCCUAGCAACAGCUGUCUCCACCAAUAGGCUAACGCCAGCUCCUGCAAUGAGUUUCUGUGACCAAUGAAAUUUUUUUCAGAGCAGCUUAUAUGGACGUCUUUUUGCCUUUAAAAGCCUUCCCUUACCUCAACCUCUCCGGAUGCACUUAUGAUGUAUAACCUGUGCAUCCUAGAUUGCAAUAAUCUGUCACUCGUUUCCAAAUAAAAUCAUUUCUUUGGAGA